AGCAAUACGUCAGCGGCGGACGGGUGAGUAACGCGUGGGAACGUACCUUUUGGUUCGGAACAACACAGGGAAACUUGUGCUAAUACCGGAUAAGCCCUUACGGGGAAAGAUUUAUCGCCGAAAGAUCGGCCCGCGUCUGAUUAGCUAGUUGGUGAGGUAAUGGCUCACCAAGGCGACGAUCAGUAGCUGGUCUGAGAGGAUGAUCAGCCACAUUGGGACUGAGACACGGCCCAAACUCCUACGGGAGGCAGCAGUGGGGAAUAUUGGACAAUGGGCGCAAGCCUGAUCCAGCCAUGCCGCGUGAGUGAUGAAGGCCCUAGGGUUGUAAAGCUCUUUUGUGCGGGAAGAUAAUGACGGUACCGCAAGAAUAAGCCCCGGCUAACUUCGUGCCAGCAGCCGCGGUAAUACGAAGGGGGCUAGCGUUGCUCGGAAUCACUGGGCGUAAAGGGUGCGUAGGCGGGUCUUUAAGUCAGGGGUGAAAUCCUGGAGCUCAACUCCAGAACUGCCUUUGAUACUGAAGAUCUUGAGUUCGGGAGAGGUGAGUGGAACUGCGAGUGUAGAGGUGAAAUUCGUAGAUAUUCGCAAGAACACCAGUGGCGAAGGCGGCUCACUGGCCCGAUACUGACGCUGAUGC
RNAcentral lists this ribosomal RNA (634 nucleotides) under Bradyrhizobium sp. Its description in RNAcentral is "bacterial SSU rRNA". It matches the Rfam family "Bacterial small subunit ribosomal RNA", at positions 83 to 752 of the family's 1533-position model. Lineage: Bacteria; Pseudomonadati; Pseudomonadota; Alphaproteobacteria; Hyphomicrobiales; Nitrobacteraceae. The record is from RNAcentral.